AUACGGAGGAUGCGAGCGUUAUCCGGAUUUAUUGGGUUUAAAGGGAGCGUAGGUGGGAUAUUAAGUCAGCUGUGAAAGUUUGGGGCUCAACCUUAAAAUUGCAGUUGAUACUGGUUUCCUUGAGUACGGUACAGGUGGGCGGAAUUCGUGGUGUAGCGGUGAAAUGCUUAGAUAUCACGAAGAACUCCGAUCGCGAAGGCAGCUCACCGGGCCGGAACUGACACUGAUGCUCGAAAGUGCGGGUAUCAAACAGGAUUAGAUGCCCUGGUAGUCCGCACAGUAAACGAUGAAUACUCGCUGUUUGCGAUACACUGUAAGCGGCCAAGCGAAAGCGUUAAGUAUUCCACCUGGGGAGUACGCCGGCAACGGUGAAACUCAAAGGAAUUGACGGGG
Molecule: ribosomal RNA, 393 nt
Filed under: uncultured bacterium
Lineage: Bacteria
Description: partial 16S ribosomal RNA
Rfam family: Bacterial small subunit ribosomal RNA
Source: RNAcentral